Long non-coding RNA from Varroa destructor (honeybee mite), 2012 nucleotides. RefSeq lists it as uncharacterized. NCBI's taxonomy places the organism in Eukaryota, Metazoa, Arthropoda, Arachnida, Mesostigmata, Varroidae. The record is from RefSeq and is a predicted model, not a curated record.
UUCACUUGUUCGUCCCCUCUUCUAACAAACAGGGCUAACCCUGAUGCUGAUAAGUAAGAUAGGAUUGGAACGAGUUAAUGUUACAUAAUGAUUUAAUGGUGUUAGAGUGUAGAUCGUUACGUUUAGCAGCUCCUCAGAAGCCUCGCAGAGCAGCUGGAACAUAGAGCAGAGGACAUAGACGAAUGACUUACUUGAUGUCUGAAAGGUUGCGUUACGAAGUGAGAUUUUAGCCAGCUAAUUUUAACUCUCCACCUUCUGGUCAUCAUCAAAUUCAUGAUAAAUCAAAAUGGCGCACAACGGCAAAGAAAGGACGUUGUUGAUCGUAUAAGUCACCAAAUGCCGUUAUAUCAAAUAGAAUUGUUUCAACGAACAACCGAUCAUACUAAUAUAUUGAUCACCUCGAUGAGCUACACAGGGGUCUCUCUUUUCGAGCUCAAGCGAAUGCAGAAAAAACGCCCAGACUAUUUUUGUUGUGAGCUGUUAUUAGCUGAGUAGGCAAAAAGUUCACAACGGCAAACGAAACAUAAAAUCGCAACGAAUGCAAUCUCGGAAUCGGCAAGAGCCUGGGUCAAAAAAGCAGUGCUCGCUGGACUCAAUUUCAAAACGGGCAGCAGUAAUGGAAAAUUCGGGCUGAUCUCAACGCCCACCCCCAACUUUAGAUUUUCUUCGACGGACGUAGAACCCAUCGAGGCGUACGUAUCCUGCCAGAACAAACGUAUAGCUCAAUGGGUUUGAACUUUGCUCGGAAUGCGAAUUAGAACUUUCAUGAGUUAAAUGAGAAGUUAAAUGAGGAAGUUCGUUCAUUAGCUGACCACCAAGCAGGGCUCCGAGUGUUCAUGGGCGUGCACGAAAUCAGCGAGAUUCGCUACUGCCGUAGAGUUCCGCAGAAACGUUCUGCAGCCACAAAUUUGAGUGGCCGAUUAUUUCGGCGGACUAGUGCACUUCGUCGUUAUCGUCUUAGACUGCAUGCCCUAUACGUAAACGUUACGGCAGUAGAGUAAGUGACCAUCCUCUAUUCGACGACGACGACGACGACGACGACGACGGUAGUGCCACAAAAGAGAGAAAGAAGAAAAAGUCUUCAGGAAAUGGAUGUGCUCGCCUGGCAGCAUAGUUACGUCUGCGCGCUAGCUUAUAGCAGUAUAUCGUCGCAUGUCUAAUAAUAGUAAUCUCAACUGGAUGCUUCCACACUGCGGAUAAUAGCAAUCUUAGUCAUAAAUUGUCACUGCUGGUGCUUCCUGCUGAUAGGGCCAGUAUUUACGGCAGGUGCGGCAGAACACUUAACUACAUACCAAUUCAUGGAUUAUUUUUUGCUAGUGUUCCGUUGUGAUAUAAUUACCAUCGCUAUAAUUGGAUACUACACUGGAUAUGCAAAUAAAUGAAGAAGGUUGACCGAUUCUGUGAGACGUUCUCAUCAACGCCUACGGAACAUUUCUGUAGCGAACUAUAACCGUCAUUUUCGACAACACAGUCUCCAGUGAAUAGACGGCGUGGUUAGAUCGGUUAAUGAGCACCUGUUUGGGUGCGUUAUUAUACGAACUUUGAACGGAAAAACAUAGAGUCAAGCUAGUUGAAAUUUUAGUGUCGGAAAAUUAUUACUAGAAAUUGAAAAUAACAAUAAAAAAAAAUAAGUUUAGCCAGAGCCACCCCAAGGGCGUUCCUCUCAGUAGAGCGACUCUUUGAUGCCGAGCCGAAGCAAAGGUGACCCCGAGGACCUUUUGACAUAAUAAGAGUAAGGAAACGGUAAAAAAAAAUCUUUAACUAAGAGAUUGAUGGUUUUAAUGAGGUUUAGAUUAUGCACAAAUUCUGUGGCCGCUAGAAAAAAUCUUUUAUCUUAAAUGGUCGGGUCUCGACACAUCUUUUCUAACAAAGAGGGAAUUUUAUUAGAACGUCACAUUAUUAGAAAAUGAAAUUUCCGAAGUGUUUAUGAAUAUGUAGUCUAGAAGCCAUGAAGGGCAGCAGUUUUAAUCGUGGUCAAUGUUUGAAAACCCCUGUGCAGAGAAAAUAAAAAC